GAUGAACGCUGGCUACAGGCUUAACACAUGCAAGUCGAGGGGAAGCGACGGGGAAGCUUGCUUCCCCGGGCGUCGACCGGCGCACGGGUGAGUAACGCGUAUCCAACCUGCCUCUGACUGAGGGAUAACCCGUCGAAAGUCGGCCUAAUACCUCAUGGUAUCGUCUGCGGGCAUCCAACGACGAUUAAAGAUUUCAUCGGUCAGGGAUGGGGAUGCGUCUGAUUAGCUUGUUGGCGGGGUAACGGCCCACCAAGGCUACGAUCAGUAGGGGUUCUGAGAGGAAGGUCCCCCACAUUGGAACUGAGACACGGUCCAAACUCCUACGGGAGGCAGCAGUGAGGAAUAUUGGUCAAUGGGCGAGAGCCUGAACCAGCCAAGUAGCGUGCAGGAAGACGGCCCUAGGGGUUGUAAACUGCUUUUAUGCGGGGAUAAAGUGAGGGACGUGUCCCUCAUUGCAGGUACCGCAUGAAUAAGGACCGGCUAAUUCCGUG
This 491-nucleotide ribosomal RNA is filed under the name uncultured bacterium. RNAcentral describes it as "partial 16S ribosomal RNA". It matches the Rfam family "Bacterial small subunit ribosomal RNA", at positions 28 to 507 of the family's 1533-position model. The record is from RNAcentral.